This 27-nucleotide non-coding RNA is filed under the name Homo sapiens (human). Lineage: Eukaryota; Metazoa; Chordata; Mammalia; Primates; Hominidae. The record is from RNAcentral.
CCAAUUGCAGCAGGAGUGCAUCAGGGC